GGGGUUGUAGCUCAUUGUUGAGCACUUGCCUCGAAUGCAUGAGGUACUGGGUUCAAUUCUCAACACCA
RNAcentral lists this transfer RNA (68 nucleotides) under Ictidomys tridecemlineatus (thirteen-lined ground squirrel). Its description in RNAcentral is "Spermophilus tridecemlineatus (thirteen-lined ground squirrel) tRNA". It matches the Rfam family "tRNA". From Rfam's summary of the family: Transfer RNA (tRNA) molecules are approximately 80 nucleotides in length. The record is from Rfam by way of RNAcentral. Lineage: Eukaryota; Metazoa; Chordata; Mammalia; Rodentia; Sciuridae.